RNAcentral lists this small nuclear RNA (160 nucleotides) under Cercocebus atys (sooty mangabey). Its description in RNAcentral is "U1 spliceosomal RNA (ENSCATG00000018846.1)". It matches the Rfam family "U1 spliceosomal RNA", at positions 1 to 111 of the family's 166-position model. Rfam says of the family: U1 is a small nuclear RNA (snRNA) component of the spliceosome (involved in pre-mRNA splicing). Its 5' end forms complementary base pairs with the 5' splice junction, thus defining the 5' donor site of an intron. There are significant differences in sequence and secondary structure between metazoan and yeast U1 snRNAs, the latter being much longer (568 nucleotides as compared to 164 nucleotides in human). The record is from RNAcentral. Lineage: Eukaryota; Metazoa; Chordata; Mammalia; Primates; Cercopithecidae.
AUACUUACCUGGCAGGGGAGAUACUAUGAUCACGAAAGUGGUUUUCCCAGGACGAGGCUUAUCCAUCACACCCUUCAUGUGCUGACCCCUGCGAUUUCCCCAAAGGAAAAAAAAUUCAAAGAAAGUAAAAGGCCAUCCUGCUAUGCAGACAGGAGAUGGA